GCAGAUUGAAAGUCAAGAAAAGGAGUCAGAUUUUGAUAAUCAGUCAAGCUCUUCCGACGUAGAAACCAAAGGAUCCCGUAACAGAGGGAAUUAUUUUUAUCAUGAGAACAAGGGUUACGACCCUGACGUCGACGUCGGCUUGGACCCCAGGUACGCAGGAUUCCAAGUGAGGCUCGAUCAUAUCGACCCUACCACAGACUACUCCAUUAGGCGGCCAACCGUGUACAGCCGUCCCUACGGUCCUCACCACAAGGAAAACAAACCAAAAUAUACGUGAAUAUCAUCUGGUUACUACUGACACCUAUCGGUCAUUUUACACGAUAUCAUUGGGGCUAUGGAUGACGGUAGUCUGUUUGAGCAAUACUUGGAAACUUAACUUGAGCAUGUCAGUUUAGGGUCAGCACAAUUAUAAUGGACGUUAUCUUUAAAUUAUCUCUAAUUUAGCUGAUAUAUAUGUGUUUAUAAAACACUAAUAUAAUUUGUUGAUUCAAUAUACAUAUUUGAUUGAAGCUUGAUAUUGAUAUAGAUCUGGAAUUGUUUAAAAAAAAAGCCUGACAGGUCUUUUUGUUUGAAGAAAUUACUGGAGAUCCAAUUUAGGAACGAAUGUUUCAAACAAGUUCACGAAAAUACGAUUGUGACAAUUACCAAAAGGAUUACAAUACGU
Lingula anatina is the source of this 664-nucleotide long non-coding RNA. NCBI's taxonomy places the organism in Eukaryota, Metazoa, Brachiopoda, Lingulata, Lingulida, Lingulidae. The record is from RefSeq and is a predicted model, not a curated record.